This 405-nucleotide ribosomal RNA is filed under the name uncultured Methylomirabilota bacterium. Its description in RNAcentral is "bacterial SSU rRNA". It matches the Rfam family "Bacterial small subunit ribosomal RNA", at positions 1027 to 1434 of the family's 1533-position model. The record is from RNAcentral. Lineage: Bacteria; Methylomirabilota (SeqCode).
CGUGGAGACAGGUGGUGCAUGGCUGUCGUCAGCUCGCGUCGUGAGAUGUUGGGUUAAGUCCCGCAACGAGCGCAACCCUUGAUGUUAGUUGCCAGCAUUCGGUUGGGCACUCUAAGGAGACUGCCGGUGUCAAACCGGAGGAAGGUGGGGAUGACGUCAAGUCCUCAUGGCCUUUAUGCCCAGGGCUACACACGUGCUACAAUGGCCGGUACAAAGGGUUGCAAUCCCGCGAGGGGGAGCGAAUCCCAAAAGCUGGUCCCAGUUCGGAUUGGAGUCUGCAACUCGACUCCAUGAAGUCGGAAUCGCUAGUAAUCGUGGAUCAGCAUGCCACGGUGAAUACGUUCCCGGGCCUUGUACACACCGCCCGUCACACCACGAAAGUCUGCUGUACUCGAAGUCGCUGAG